GACGAACGCUGGCGGCGCGCCUAACACAUGCAAGUCGAACGAGCGAGAGAGAGCUUGCUUUCUCAAGCGAGUGGCGAACGGGUGAGUAACGCGUGAGGAACCUGCCUCAAAGAGGGGGACAACAGUUGGAAACGACUGCUAAUACCGCAUAAGCCCACGACCCGGCAUCGGGUAGAGGGAAAAGGAGCAAUCCGCUUUGAGAUGGCCUCGCGUCCGAUUAGCUAGUUGGUGAGGUAACGGCCCACCAAGGCGACGAUCGGUAGCCGGACUGAGAGGUUGAACGGCCACAUUGGGACUGAGACACGGCCCAGACUCCUACGGGAGGCAGCAGUGGGGAAUAUUGCACAAUGGGGGAAACCCUGAUGCAGCGACGCCGCGUGGAGGAAGAAGGCCUUCGGAUUGUAAACUCCUGUUGUUGAGGAAGAUAAUGACGGUACUCAACAAGGAAGUGACGGCUAACUACGUG
Molecule: ribosomal RNA, 466 nt
Filed under: uncultured bacterium
Lineage: Bacteria
Description: partial 16S ribosomal RNA
Rfam family: Bacterial small subunit ribosomal RNA
Source: RNAcentral